This 254-nucleotide ribosomal RNA is filed under the name uncultured bacterium. RNAcentral's name for it is "partial 16S ribosomal RNA". It matches the Rfam family "Bacterial small subunit ribosomal RNA", at positions 524 to 776 of the family's 1533-position model. The record is from RNAcentral.
UACGAGGGGGGCAAGCGUUGUUCGGAAUUAUUGGGCGUAAAGAGCUCGUAGGCGGUGUGUCGCGUCGGCCGUGAAAACCUGGGGCUUAACUCUGGGCGUGCGGUCGAUACGGGCAUCACUAGAGUUCGGCAGGGGAGACUGGAAUUCCUGGUGUAGCGGUGAAAUGCGCAGAUAUCAGGAGGAACACCGGUGGCGAAGGCGGGUCUCUGGGCCGAUACUGACGCUGAGGAGCGAAAGCAUGGGUAGCGAACAGG